UUGCAAGCUGGAAGAGCAGAUGGAGUAAUUUAAUUCCUUCAAACUAUUGGAUUGGUGACAGGUAUUAUGUAGUGUAAGAGCAGAAAGUUCCAUCUGGUGUGCACAUUGGCUGCUACAAUGAUACUUAGCAUGGUAAAAUGAUGUCAAAACAGAUGCAAUAGCCAAGGCAUGAAAUUAAGGGUACAGAGAUCUUGAUCUUUAUGGACAUAUUUGCAAUUCAAAUUUGAAUUGAGAAAAGCCAACUCUGUCAAGAUCUAUAAAUUCAUCUUGUAAGGAGUAGACAAGUUCUGAGAGACCUGGAUUUGAACUUAGAAAUUCAGAGAAACUUCAGAUACAGGAGUUACAACAAAAUGAGUCACAAGCUAGAGUCAGGUAGUUGUGUUUGAAGUGCCGAACUUCUCAACUGGGUUGUUUGUGGAUAAUGAUGACACCAAUAUAAAAGAGGUGUAAAUAGUCACACUGCUGCUAAGAAUGGAGCCUGGAUCCUGACUGGGGCCUUUGGUGCUACCACAAUACAAAUACUAAAUAGUAACAAUAAUAGUAAUGCUGAUGCAAACAGGGAAAAAGGACUAAAAUUGCCAUUAAAAUGUUCAUAAUAAUUAACAGAACUGUACUCAGGAUAUUUGAAAUAAUUUGUACUCAUAUACAAUGCAACUACUCUGAACCUAGGCACUGAGGUUUGACCAGCAAAAUAUUUAAGAAUACGCUUAAUUUUAAGCAUGUGAAUAAUCCCAUUGAAGUUUUUCCUUUAUUCCCCUUAGUCCCAUUACUUUGCUGGAAUGGAGCCUAAGACACUAUGGUGUUGGGCACCAAUAUAAGACUCUAGAUGGAUAAGUAUAAUUUUAUGGCAUCAUAUGAAGCAAUAUAAGUAUAUGACACGAUUUUGGGGGAAGGUUAAGGGCAUGUUCCCAAAGGUGGGAGGGGAGAUGUAUGUGGAAAAGGGCUUUUCUAUUGCUUUGAUUUACUGUCUGGCUAAGAUCAUUUGUUACCGUUCAUGACUGUGAAAAGUGGCUGCUGGGCUGAAUUUUCAAAUGGCGUUAAAUGGUCAUUAUUAUGUUGUUGUAAGACUAUUUAAGCUAAGGGAGUUAGGCACCCAAAUCUCACUGCAUUUCAGUGGUGUUUGGACACUGAACUUCAUAUGCUUCUUUAAAACUCUCAGCCUUGACUGUCAGAAUGCCAAGAACUUUUCAUCUAGGUGGGCCUUUUUUUUUUUUUUUUUUUUACCCUAUUGAUUACAUCUAAGUAAAUAAGCACAUAUUUUCAGUUUCUAAGCUGAUCUGUUUUAUGCUCCUCAAACCUCUCACAGGUGUUUGCAUGAGCAUAUUUUUCAUUUCCGGAGAUGUCAGAAUGCUGUAGAGUAGCUAUAUAAAUGACAUCUACCAAAGUGAAUGGAAAGUGACUUCCUCUUCAUGCACUCUCUGGGUAAAAUUCAGACCUGUGCCUAGUGCCCACACAAGGCCCUAUGCACCACUUCAGCUCUGCACUACGGGCUUAAGUGGAACUUAAUGCGAAUGGCCGCCUCUGCACUGAGGUAAAUUAUGUCCUGUCUGCACAAUGGCAGCAAUAGAAUUAUUGUGCCGCAGAGUCUUUUCUGUAAUGCCUUAUGCACUUGUAGAUAGAAUUUCAGUUGCUAUUGAACGUUCAGGUACAGGUUUCUAAAGGAUUCUCUUCCCCCUCCCCAGUAUAUCUAUUGUAGCACAAAAUGUUUGGCCUUGUAUCUAAUGCAAACACUUGCUUAAUGUGCCUGUUGCUAUGGCUGCUGUAUCUGAUCCAUCUGUCUGACUCAUGCCCUUGAAUUAUCCUGUUUUCAGAGUUUACAUGAUCUAAAUUUUAUGAAAGGGACAGACAGCUCAAAAUGGAUCAAACUAUUCUGAUCAACUUUGUAUGCUUUGGGGCCUGCAGUGUCCAAACAAGGCGGGUGACUGCUUUUUGCUUCAGUGCUGCCAAAAAUCAUGUGGGAUAUGAUACAGAGCACACUGAGGUUAAUGAGAAUUUUUUUCUUGACUUCAGCUAGUUUUGCAUCACAACCAUAGUUUGUCCUUUGAGAGUGUAGCAAGAUGGAGAUACUUAAUGCGCUAGUAACUCCUGAUGAAAAAUACGAUUAGUCUCAUAGCACUGGAGAACUGUUUUAGAAGCAUUGAGUAUUUUCCCAUCUCUCCUCAAGAGCACACUGUAGAAUUACUGGAUUUGAAUGCCUAAUCAGAAGCAUAUAUUUCCACAUCUAAAUAAGAGACACUCUUUGACUCCGGUAUUUCUGGCUGCAGCAUUGGAUUCUUAGGGGAAAUCAAGAAGGUAUUUCUGCUACAGUGCAAUGUGUUAAAAUUGUAUUUAAAUAAAUCUGAAUGUACUGUGCAGGCAAUAUAUUUAAAAAGAAAACAAUCCACAAGAGGUCUUCAGCAUAGUACAUAAGUUAUUUAUAGAAUAUCUGAAAGUGCCAUACCUAGAUUAUAGAGCAUUCUAACAGAGAUAAGAAGCAAGAAUUCUGAGAGCUUUUGAACACCCUGGAGAUUUAGCAUUGGACCAUUUAUUACAAAGCUGUGUUUGAGUGAAGGUAAUACAUUAGGGAAAACUCAUAUCUGUUCUGGGAUAUGAAAUCCCACUUGCUGUGUGGUGUCGUAGUUUAAAUUUUGGUAUCCUGAUCUGUAAUAUACAUUAGAAAUGUACAAAAACUCAUACAAGACCUUGUAGAGAGGUUUUUCUUAUGUUGCCUGGUAUAGUCUAUAUAUCUACAUUUGCACUACCAUAUUUUAAGUAGGUUAAAAUAGGCUAAAAGGCUUAGAACAUAAUUAUAGAAGCACCCAAAAGGGAUUUAAACAUUGACAGAAAAGCUUACUUAAGUUGCUCAAUGCUAGCAUGUCAAGUGUUUACAUAAUUGUGAGAAGUUACAUAAUGGUUCUCUGUACUUGUUUGACUAUAUACGUCAGUAUUUUAACAGGUACAUACCUAAAAAACUACAGGUAAAAUUCUGCCAUCACAUACAUGCAUGCAACUCCCUUCGUAAUCAAUGAAAGUUUCAUUUGCUUUUGUGAGACAAGAAUGUACCUCCAUACAGUUUAUUAAAACAAGGCUGUGACGUGGCCAACAAUGAUAUGAAUAUGUUUCAUCUGAGGUAAAGCACUCUGCAUUCUAAGAGGUACCUAAACUUCAUCACCACAUCUGAGGACAAAUUAAUAUUCUCCAGUUUCCAAACAAAAAUCUUUCCUCUAGGAUGAUGAUGUAUUUUGCUGCCACCAGUGACACGUGACAGACUUUAAUUAAGCUUUACGAAGUAAGUAAGAUGUAAAACACCCUACAAAUAUGAGUUCUAUUCCAGCAUAGAACUAAUGGAAUCUUUAGUAGUCAUUUUCUGCAAAAUUACGUUCCUAAAUCAGUCUGGUAUAUCCUGCAUUGAUUUUAAGGUGUUUUGUUGUUGUUUUGUUUUAAAAUAGUGUUCUGAUUGUCCAAGAGUCAUGACAAUUCAUUUUUCCCAUCAGCUGAAUAAUCAUGGAGAUGAACUGUUAAUUUCUUGCCGAGUUUAUAUCACACAUCAGUAAAUUCUGAAAUUCUUCAUCUCAUGGAUUUUUAAUUGUCUGUUCCAUUUCAAGUUUGCAGUGUUGUUGUAGCUGUAUUGGUCCCCUCGCUCAUAUUCCAUUUAAGGAAAUUUUAAACGGUUGCUUAAAAAGAUGAUAGAAUUAGCUCUUCAUUUUAAAUUUAGCAUGACAUAUCCUCAUGCUGAUUUGUAGAGUUAACUAAGGUUAUCAUAAUAUACAUGUUGUUUUCUUUGAUGCCUUUUAGAAGGUGUUUCUAGAUGAAUAGAUUUAGCAGUAUAAGACUAAUGGUAGGCUUACACAGCAAAAGCUGAGCAGAUACUCAUGUAGGGCUUGCCUAUGCACAGCUUUUGCUGUGUAGGUGUACCUCAGUCAAUCAACUAACAAAUGUAAGCCUCUUGACUGAGCUGUAGUUAGCCAAAUAGUACCAGUGUCUAUUGGUGCAAAGCUUGAUUUUGAAAGAUGAGCACUUUUUGUGUACCACUAUAAAGAAAAAAAAUGUACACAGUGGUCCAGUUUCUGCUCUUAGAUAGAGCUCUGAAGAUCUGAGGCAUAAGCCUGUGCAUGGGGGGGAUUUUACAACCCUUACAUUUGUUGAAUGGUGUUAACUCAUGGAGUGAGUCAGUGCGACCACUCACGUAAGUAACCACUAAUCACUAAGUGAGGGUUGCGGAACCUGACACAGAGUGAAUCAGAGAUUUAAGGUAAAAUAGAGGAAUAACUUUAUUCUAGUUAGAAACAUUAACAGGGAUAAUUCCAAAACUAGGUCCAUGAGCUAGGGGUGGGGAAUUUAUGGCCUCACAGGAUUUGCUGCUCACAGUGCUAGCAUAGUCCCUUCAUAAUGUCCAGAAACUAUUACCAUAAUCCUCCUGGUAACAAGUUGCCCUCUAGCUCCCCAUACAGGAUUAUUACUAGAACUGAUUUGCAUGUUUUCUUUUUUUGACAAAAACUUGAAUUUUUUUGAUUAAAACCAGAAAUUUUUCCAUGAAAAUUUCCUGGUAGUCAAUAACCAUUUUCAAAUAAAGAAGUUUCAAUUUAAAUUUUUUGACCAACUCUAGUUAUUACAGUACACAACUUCCAUUGACAUCAGUGGCAGUUUUGUGUAUGUAUCUGAGGGCAGCGUCUGGUUUACCGGAUAUAUCUUAGUGUUUAUGAUGUGCAAGAACUUAUGUGUAUAUUGGAUACUAGCAUCUGGCGGGCAUUUUUACAAUUAAAUAUAGUAUGCAAAUUCAGUAAUGAACCUUAUUUCCAAGGAACAGCAGCCUCUUGCUUCUGUUAACACUUUGGCCACAUCUUUUUCCUUUGCAAGUUUCUGCAGAUUUGAAAGAGAAGUUAAGAUGUACACCCUUUUCAUGUGCUAUUCCCAACUUACUGUCAGUGUUAUGGACAUCUGCCAAGAAAUUACAGUUGAGCAAACUAAAACCAUGGGAGAAGUUUGGUAUCAUGUAACACUUUAUUCCACAUUAUACUUGAUACCUCUUUUGAACAAGCGUACCUUUACUCUGAAGAGUCUUGUGCAUGAAAACAGGAUGGGACUUUAAUGACAACAUUGCAUCACAGUUUAAAUCUUCCUAUUGGUCAGAAACUGAGCAUCAACCUGAACAGAAUUGGGAAGUUUUAGAUUCAACUGGAAUUUGAAUGUCUAAGUUUGGAGAUCUGUAUUUUGGUUCUGACAGCUCUGGAAAUUAUUGGCCUGAUUAUCUCAUUUACACUGAUGUAAAUCAGUCAAGAGCGUAACACUGAUGUAGAACCAGUGUGAGAGGAAAAUCAGGCGCAAUGUAUCUGCAUCAGCAGUUUAGAUCCAGGGUUUUGGUCUUAGCACAUUUUUUGAAUGAAUCUGUUGAACCUUG
Chelonia mydas (Green sea turtle) is the source of this 5377-nucleotide long non-coding RNA. RefSeq lists it as uncharacterized. The transcript is spliced from 3 exons. NCBI's taxonomy places the organism in Eukaryota, Metazoa, Chordata, Testudines, Cheloniidae. The record is from RefSeq and is a predicted model, not a curated record.